Molecule: unclassified non-coding RNA, 435 nt
Filed under: Hevea brasiliensis (rubber tree)
Lineage: Eukaryota; Viridiplantae; Streptophyta; Magnoliopsida; Malpighiales; Euphorbiaceae
Source: RNAcentral
ACCAUAUGGCAGCUGAUGUGAGCUCUCUAUUUAGGGUUUUGACUGGAUACAAGGAUCAACGGACGGUUGCUAACGAGCCUGUUGCUGGAAAAUCAACGGCUCUUAUGACCAGGGAUUUGCUUGGUGGUGGUGGUGGUGAUGCUGAGGACGAGUCUCAAGAAUUGGACCUCGACUCGCAAGUGCCCACUGGCUGGGAAAAGCGCCUAGACUUGAAGUCAGGGAAGGUUUAUUUACAACGAUGCAAUUCCUCAAGUUCAGCUUCACCUUCUCCUUCAACAUCAUCAGAUCUCAGGCAACAAACCAAUCAAACAGUGGCAAAGCUUCAAGAUUUAAACUUCCCUCCAUCACCUUCCAAGAUCACACUAAAUCUUUUUGAUGAAACAAACUUAGACCUUAAGUUAGUCUCGUCACCGUCAGGAACAACUACUACUUCAU